GACUGUUAGUGCAUGGUGAUCCUUUCCAGUAGAAUCCGAGACCUUGAGAGCGAGACCUUUACAACCUUCUGAAGAAAGUGCUCUCAUUCUUCAGAUGAGAGACACAAGGGCUCAGUGAGGUGAGUGGCUGAGCUGAGAACAGGAUGUCUGUCUUCUGGGCUCUGGCAGGCCGCUAUCUCAGUGCUCUUCUAAGAAGACCCUUUUCAGAACCCGCGCACUGCCGCUAUGGAACAGCACGACGGACCAUGAGCAGGGAAGCCUGAUUUCUAUAUUGGGAUUCUCUCCUGAUUAUGUGGCCUCAAGAAAAUCACUUCGCAUUAUUGGGUUUCUACUGCUUGUAGUCUCUUUGGGGAGAUGGACCGGUACCCAUUCAAUUACAAUGCAGAACACCAUGUUGGAAGAGAAAGGAAAGAACCUGGAACACACAGUCAAUAAACCAAAAACCAAAAAAACCAAACCAAACCAAAACAAAACAACUAACACCAUUUGGGGGCUCACUAACUUCCAUAGGAUGCACAGAAUGAAGACAGGAGAGGUGACAUGGUCUCAUCAGAAAGUGUGUGACAGCGAUCUCAGAGCACUUUGGAGAAGCUUAAGAAAGGGCUCUGGUUUGGGUCACCGGGAACCACAGAGGAGACAGCUAUGUUCAAAGAAGUAA
This 658-nucleotide long non-coding RNA is filed under the name Mustela putorius furo (domestic ferret). RNAcentral describes it as "lncRNA (ENSMPUG00000028541.1)". Lineage: Eukaryota; Metazoa; Chordata; Mammalia; Carnivora; Mustelidae. The record is from RNAcentral.